RNAcentral lists this transfer RNA (70 nucleotides) under Atta laevigata. RNAcentral describes it as "tRNA-Trp". The record is from RNAcentral. Lineage: Eukaryota; Metazoa; Arthropoda; Insecta; Hymenoptera; Formicidae.
AAGAUUUUAAGUUAUAUACUCUAAACUCUAAACUUUCAAAGUUUAAUAAAUAAUUUUUUUAUAAAUCUUA